GGUACUCAAGGGUACGCAGUACUGGCACAUGUAUUUUGGUGUUGUUUGAAAUUGUGGCACUUGCUGUAACAACUUCAUGUCCCCUCAAUCCCCUUCAGAAGAUUGCCCUAGCCUAGAUGUUGAGUAGAUGAACCCCUGAGCUAAUGAGCUGGUUACAAACCCUGUAAGAUCUUCAAGCGGAGGCAGCAGGAAAAACCUCAGAGAACAUAGGUUUGGGAACCAUUUGCACAAUCCAAAGUUGUUUGAUCCUUUAUUUGAUCCUAUUUGAAUAGUGAAAGUGUUGCAUAUUACAUAGUGAUUCCUCCUAAGCUGUGA
Molecule: long non-coding RNA, 315 nt
Organism: Podarcis raffonei (Aeolian wall lizard)
Lineage: Eukaryota; Metazoa; Chordata; Lepidosauria; Squamata; Lacertidae
Exons: 2
Source: RefSeq, a predicted model, not a curated record